AUGAACGCUGGCGGCGUGCCUAAUACAUGCAAGUCGAGCGUACAGACGAGGAGCUUGCUCCUCUGACGUUAGCGGCGGACGGGUGAGUAACACGUGGAUAACCUACCUAUAAGACUGGGAUAACUUCGGGAAACCGGAGCUAAUACCGGAUAAUAUAUUGAACCGCAUGGUUCAAUAGUGAAAGACGGUUUUGCUGUCACUUAUAGAUGGAUCCGCGCCGCAUUAGCUAGUUGGUAAGGUAACGGCUUACCAAGGCAACGAUGCGUAGCCGACCUGAGAGGGUGAUCGGCCACACUGGAACCGAGACACGGUCCAGACUCCUACGGGAGGCAGCAGUAGGGAAUCUUCCGCAAUGGGCGAAAGCCUGACGGAGCAACGCCGCGUGAGUGAUGAAGGUCUUCGGAUCGUAAAACUCUGUUAUUAGGGAAGAACAAAUGUGUAAGUAACUAUGCACGUCUUGACGGUACCUAAUCAGAAAGCCACGGCUAACUACGUG
RNAcentral lists this ribosomal RNA (496 nucleotides) under uncultured bacterium. RNAcentral describes it as "partial 16S ribosomal RNA". It matches the Rfam family "Bacterial small subunit ribosomal RNA", at positions 29 to 507 of the family's 1533-position model. The record is from RNAcentral.